RNAcentral lists this ribosomal RNA (375 nucleotides) under uncultured organism. RNAcentral describes it as "partial 16S ribosomal RNA". It matches the Rfam family "Bacterial small subunit ribosomal RNA", at positions 526 to 896 of the family's 1533-position model. The record is from RNAcentral.
GGGGGGGUGCAAGCGUUAUUCGGAAUUAUUGGGCGUAAAGGGCGCGUAGGCGGUCUCUAAAGUCAGAUGUGAAAGCCCGGGGGGCUUAACCCCGGGAAGUGCAUUUGAAGCUCAGGGACUUGAGUAUGGGAGAGGGGAGUGGAAUUCCUGGUGUAGCGGUGAAAUGCGUAGAUAUCAGGAGGAACACCAGUGGCGAAGGCGACUUCCUGGACCAAUACUGACGCUAAGGCGCGAAGGCGUGGGGAGCAAACAGGAUUAGAUACCCUGGUAGUCCACGCAGUAAACGGUGAGCACUAGGUGUAGCGGGUAUUGACCCCUGCUGUGCCGCAGCUAACGCAUUAAGUGUUCCGCCUGGGGAGUACGAUCGCAAGAUUA